Molecule: long non-coding RNA, 880 nt
Organism: Lytechinus pictus (painted urchin)
Lineage: Eukaryota; Metazoa; Echinodermata; Echinoidea; Temnopleuroida; Toxopneustidae
Exons: 3
Source: RefSeq, a predicted model, not a curated record
AGGAUAGUGUUCUUCCAACUGUAAUUAAUUACCUCAUCAAAGUGUGCAAGACGGAACAAGUCUCUUGGAAAUGCAACUUUAAAUUGGAUUGAAAGACAUCCUAACCACAGAAGGAUCUAAAAACUACGCAGUUGACCCCCCUAAAUCAUGCAAAUAUUGAACAGUAAGAAGCAUUCUUUGUACGUUUAUCUUCGAAAGCUGAUGUGAUGGGAUGAACCUAUUGAAUAUUCAUGUUUAACAUUGUGAAUAUUCAUUGUUGUUUACAUUGUGAAUAUUCAUACUUUGUAUUGGGAAUGCGUAUAUUUGAAGAGACAAAGUUGUAUCUUCGGUAGAGAGUGUGCACGAGUGGAUCAACGGUAUUCAUCAGUGCGCAGCAUUCUACUAGAAGGGUGCAACGUCUUCAAACAUUCAAGAACAUCCUUUCGGAACCUUGCAAAAUUUUUACGGAAUCUUGCUGAACUUGGCAGUUGUGUGCUCUAUUGAGCCAUUUCAAACCAAAUACAUUUUUCUUGGAUCAUCUCCCAGUGUGGAUGUACUGUGUCCAGAAUUGAUGAACUUUCAUUCACUCUGAAGGCUUUUGAAAGAGAAGUUAAUUAAGAACUUGUGAAAUAACAAGAAUUCAAUAAACUUAUUGGCCAGUGUGAAACUUGGUCUUGUUGAAUUAUCUUGUUUGGAUAAAGCACACUGAGGGUAAAGGAUUGACAAUCAAUUACAAUAGAAUUGAGGAAAACCACCAUGCCACUUUCAAUUCUAAAAGUGCAUCUGCCAACACCCGGAUAGUUUCAUGUUUAAGAUUGAAUUGGAAGUGGUCAGUCAAAGCAAGUAGGAAGGGCUGGUGAAGGUGUCUAGUCUCCACUUGUAACUCGGCUACAGUAUCCAG